RNAcentral lists this ribosomal RNA (633 nucleotides) under uncultured fungus. RNAcentral's name for it is "eukaryotic LSU rRNA". The stretch from base 225 to 378 matches the Rfam family "5.8S ribosomal RNA". The record is from RNAcentral. Lineage: Eukaryota; Fungi.
CGUAGGUGACCUGCGGAGGAUCAUUAUCGUACAAUGGGGGUACCCGGGUUGUCGCUGACUUUUCGUCGUGCACGCCCGAGUGCUCUCACAUACAAAUAUCCAUCUCACCCCUUUGUGCAUCACCGCGUGCGUCCCCCCCUUCCUCGGAGGGCGGGUGCUCACGUUUUUAACAUCAAACACCCUAGUGUAGAAUGUUCUUUGCGCGAUCACGCGCGAAUCAAUACAACUUUCAACAACGGAUCUCUUGGCUCUCGCAUCGAUGAAGAACGCAGCGAAAUGCGAUACGUAAUGUGAAUUGCAGAAUUCAGUGAAUCAUCGAAUCUUUGAACGCACCUUGCGCCCCUUGGCAUUCCGAGGGGCACACCCGUUUGAGUGUCGUGAACAUCCUCAACCUGCUUCGUUCUAUCGAACCAAGUAGGCUUGGAAUUUGGAGGUUUUUCUGCUGGCUUCCUCUGAAGCCAGCUCCUCUUAAAUCUAUCAGUGGGAUCCGCUUUGCUAGAUCCUCGACGUUGAUAAGAUGUUUCUACGUCUUGGGUUUCGCUCGGGAAGGACCUGCUUCUAACCGUCCCCAUCGGGGACAAUGUUCGAGAGCCGAUCGCCCUUCACGGGGUGCGAAGCUUUUCGACCCAUGAA